This is a long non-coding RNA of Helianthus annuus (common sunflower), 414 nucleotides long. RefSeq lists it as uncharacterized. The transcript has 3 exons. Lineage: Eukaryota; Viridiplantae; Streptophyta; Magnoliopsida; Asterales; Asteraceae. The record is from RefSeq and is a predicted model, not a curated record.
GGGGCGAUCCCCACUUCUCAAACCCUAAAUUCUGCUUAAACUCUCAAUUGAAGGAGCAAAUCUGGUCCAAACGAAAAUCCAAGCUUAGAAUCGUGAUCCUCAUCGCAAGAGGAUUAUAAGGAACGGGCGCAGGAGCGUCAAGCGGACAAGCGGGUGGCGAGCCACGUCAAAAAGGGCUACUUUGAAGGUGACGUAAUGGAUCUUACGGAUGGCGGUCGAGCGAAUAAUGAAGAACCGAACACUACAUUUUGAAAGCUUCCGCAAUGUUUUAAAUCUUUAGUAGUCUUAUGUAUGAAUUGUAAUUACUUGUUAAACUACUUUUGGUAUGUUUUAACUUAUACACUAGUCGACUAAGGUUGACGUACUUAAGAACUCCGUUAACGGAUGUUAUGUCACUAAAACAAUAUUUUGAUA